Mustela erminea (ermine) is the source of this 428-nucleotide long non-coding RNA. RefSeq lists it as uncharacterized. The transcript is spliced from 4 exons. Lineage: Eukaryota; Metazoa; Chordata; Mammalia; Carnivora; Mustelidae. The record is from RefSeq and is a predicted model, not a curated record.
CUUAGAUUAUUCUUUUUUUUCUUUUUGGGUCCCAGAGGAGUACCAGAGUGAGUUGAUAACUCUUUUAUUGCUACCUGGAGAGAAGACUUUCCCACCUGGUGCAGCAUCCAAUGGCAGAUCAACGCUCCCAGAAUGUUUGAACCCUCAAGACUAAAUGAGAUAACAAAUGUAGACUACAUGCCCCAUCAUAGAAAAAAAUCAGUAUUUGCCCCUGAUUUGUUCCUGGAAUGCCCUGCAAGAGAAUGUUUUCAUUCCUUACUCUUCAAUGUGUGCCACAAGGGGAGACAGAAAUAUGGAAAUUUGACACAGAUAACAUGGAUCAAACUCCAGAGUUCUAAUUUACUCCUGCAGAUGCUUAAUGGACUAAGCCACCCAGAAACGAACCACAAGACAAAAGUGACUAUUUUUUUCUGCCACCCAUACCUGGA